Priapulus caudatus is the source of this 321-nucleotide long non-coding RNA. RefSeq lists it as uncharacterized. The transcript is spliced from 3 exons. Lineage: Eukaryota; Metazoa; Priapulida; Priapulimorpha; Priapulimorphida; Priapulidae. The record is from RefSeq and is a predicted model, not a curated record.
CCGACAAACAAGCAGACAUUCUGAUUGGAUCCAUCUUCGUUAGCGGCAAGACUAAGUGGGAACUGCUCGACAAUAUAGUGAGGAGGAUAUUCAAGGUGCGCAGCAGCACUGUGUGGAUGCUCUUGCCUACGAGACGCUCAUCCCCAAGUCAAUAGCCCCGCAUAUGUCAGCGGCUGGCUGAGUACCUCGUGCUGCGGUCUGGUAAGGAGCCAUCGCCUGGAGCUGCUCCGCAUCCUCGACAACCUGCUGGGAGAGGUAAGUCACUUUUGUAUUCUCCUUGCCUUUCUCUCUGCCCCUCUCUACCCCUCUCGUUCUCUCUCU